Molecule: transfer RNA, 72 nt
Filed under: Stegodyphus mimosarum
Lineage: Eukaryota; Metazoa; Arthropoda; Arachnida; Araneae; Eresidae
Rfam family: tRNA
About the family: Transfer RNA (tRNA) molecules are approximately 80 nucleotides in length. Their secondary structure includes four short double-helical elements and three loops (D, anti-codon, and T loops). Further hydrogen bonds mediate the characteristic L-shaped molecular structure. tRNAs have two regions of fundamental functional importance: the anti-codon, which is responsible for specific mRNA codon recognition, and the 3' end, to which the tRNAs corresponding amino acid is attached (by aminoacyl-tRNA synthetases). tRNAs cope with the degeneracy of the genetic code in two manners: having more than one tRNA (with a specific anti-codon) for a particular amino acid; and 'wobble' base-pairing, i.e. permitting non-standard base-pairing at the 3rd anti-codon position.
Source: Rfam by way of RNAcentral
GCCUUUGUGGUGUAGUGGUCUGCAUGUUCGACGGUAACCGAGAGGUCCGUGGUUCGAGUCCCGGCGAAGGCG